This 1029-nucleotide long non-coding RNA is filed under the name Anas platyrhynchos platyrhynchos (common mallard). Its description in RNAcentral is "lncRNA (ENSAPLG00000023878.1)". The record is from RNAcentral. Lineage: Eukaryota; Metazoa; Chordata; Aves; Anseriformes; Anatidae.
CGGGCUGAGAUCGCUGAGCCCGAGCUGAGCCCGAGUGAGGAGGGGAGAGGAAAGGAGAGGAGAGCAGGACAAAGCUCCACGGCGCUCACCCACCGAAAGGCUCUGCCAAACGGGGGAGAUGCUGGGGGAGAUGCUGGCAGACAAGGGGCAGGCUGCUGGGUGCCCGUCGGUGGCAUUACAAGGGAUGCUCGGCGGUCGCGCUUCCCUCACAAAGCGGGAAAAAGCGCUGCAAUUGGGACACAGCGCGCUACUCUCGGAAAUAAAAAAAAUAAUAAAAAAAAGCAAAACAAAAGAAAGAGGCGCACGCAGACAAAACCCAACAACAAACGCACCGGGGGGGGGGGCUGCAGCUCGCGAUGCUCGGCUGCUAACCCCCUGCCAGCCGCCCCGGGGGGUCCCAGCGAGGUUUUUAGGGCUCGGCUCGCCCCGGGCAGGGGGCGUCCCGCAGCCCAGCCCCACCUGGGCGAGCCGGCGGGGCUGCUGCUGGCCGAGCAGCUCGCCCAAGUUGCCGCACAGCCCGGCUCGGAGAAGCGGGGCCAUUGUGCGGGACGAGGCGGCGCGGCAGUGCCAAAAAAAGGGAGAAAAAAAAAUAUGAAAAAGCGGCGCGCACCGCCACAAAGCGACCCGGCGGGCUCCGCAGCCCUGCCCCGGGGCAAAGUUGCGGCCGGGCUCGGCACGGAGCGAACAAAGCGGGGCGGGGAGCGGGGGGAGCCCUCCCGGCGGCUCGCAGCGGUGCCCGGGGGCGAGCAGGUGUCGCGGCGGGGCCGGCAGCGCUCCCGCCCCCCCGGCCCCUCACUCACCCACGCCGUACUUCUCGUGCUCCGUGGGUAUCCACAUGCCGGCGGCAGCGCUCCCCGCUCGGAGCGGCGGCCGGCUCCGCCUGGCGGGCUGCUGCUCAGCCGCGGCUGCCCGGCUCCGCCGGCUGGGGCAUUGUUCCUGCGGACCCACCGACAGACAGACCGACAGACAGACAGACGGGCGGCCGGACAGACCGACCGGAGGCGCCGCUCGGCCGCCAGCCACUUAUAG